GAUGAUUGAGGUCGGAAAUGGCUCCCGACACACUCGAAAGAGUACCUGAGAUGCAGGAUACGCCACCCUGCCAAUUAUC
RNAcentral lists this non-coding RNA (79 nucleotides) under unclassified sequences. RNAcentral describes it as "skipping-rope RNA". It matches the Rfam family "skipping-rope RNA". Rfam says of the family: Firmicutes, Fusobacteria, AlphaProteobacteria, Spirochaetes. Downstream gene The record is from Rfam by way of RNAcentral.